AUAUCAAGAUCGAAUUAAUUGACUGAGAGGAUAACUAACACAGGAUCAUGAUCGGUUAUAUUUCGUGCCACGAUCACUUAUACGCUGUCCACAAGUUUCCUAUUUUUUCAAAAUCUUAAUUAUGUCUCGACAAUACUUCAAAGUCGGUUCGAUGUUGCUGUCCGAAUGUAUUGGCCCGGUCCCUACGUUGCCUUUGGAACAGCUUAUGUUAUGAUUAAUGCUUCGACGAAAAGACAGUGAAA
Long non-coding RNA from Arabidopsis thaliana (thale cress), 242 nucleotides. RefSeq annotates it as other RNA. The transcript has a single exon. The record is from RefSeq. NCBI's taxonomy places the organism in Eukaryota, Viridiplantae, Streptophyta, Magnoliopsida, Brassicales, Brassicaceae.